GGCACACGGAGAAAAACCUUCUAGAGUAAGGCUUGUUGGUUGUAAGAUUCUUUGUAGCCUUCUCUCAGCCUACACAAAUAAUAGCUAGUUCUUCACUAUUAAAACAUCUCCAAAAGUUUGCUAUCUCUACCUGGCAUCAAUAAAUUUUUGAUAAAACAUGAAAAAACAUUCACCAACAAUUUGGCAUCUCAACUUGGUAAAAAUAGGAAGUUGGCAUAUUUCGGCCUUGUUUAGAGCAUCUCCAACAAUUUGCUAAAAAACUUUUGCCAAAUCUUAUGUUUUGACAAGUUGCUAAAAGAUUUGGCAAGUAAAAUAAUUUGUCAUCUCCAACAAGUUGCCAAUUGAACUUGCCAAAUUAUAAAAAAAAACAGGCCCACCACUAAACUACCAACUACCAAAUUGAUGGAUCCAUCCUUCCUCCGCGCCCUUUGUCUGCUCGCAAGGGUUCUGUUGUCCGUCGCGCCGCCGUGUCGUACAGCGCACGGCCAGCCACCUCUUCCUUCCACGGUGUACAAGUGACCAAGCCAGCCAUCUCCAAGAUCUCCUCCUCCACGAUCAGCUAUCAGUACCAGCACAUGUCAUCGCUAUCGAGCAGCACCACAGCACCUCUGCAGCAACAAGUAGGCCGGCAGGUUUCGAGGCAACACAAACUUUUCUGUCAAUUCCUGCUGGUGACAAGACAGGGAGCAGCUCAACAUGGGCCUUGUUUAGUUCCGAAAAGUGAAAAGUUUUCGGUACUGUAGCACUUUCGUUUGUUUGUGAAAAAUAUUAUCUAAUCAUAGACUAACUAGGAUUAAAAGAUUCGUCUCGUGAUUUACAGCUAAACUGUAUAAUUAGUUUUUGUUUUCGUCUAUAUUUAAUGUUUCAUGCAUGUGCCACAAGAUUCGAUGUGACGGAAAAUCUUGAAAAUUUUUUGAUUUUCAGGGUGAACUAAACAAGGCCAUAGAAUAUGCAAGCGAAUCUUGGCAGCAGCUCGGCAGGGAGUACGAGCCAGAACUUUCACCUGGCACGCGGGAAGGGAAGCGAAGACGAGGAAUCACACGAUGGCAAGCGCGUCCGCGCGGCGGAAAUCUACACGCGCGGCUGAGAAAAUUGGCAAGUGAAACAAUUUGACAAGUGGGAAUACUAAACUGUUGGAGCAAAUUUUUACCUCUUUUGCUAAAUUUUUUUGGGAUGACAAGUGCUUUAGCAAACUGUUAGAGAUGCUCUUACAUGCAUUUUUUUUUGAUUUUGACACUAUAGCACUUUCGUUUGUAUUUGACAAACACUAUCCAAUCAUAGAAUAACUAGGUUUAAAAGAUUCGUCUCACGGUUUAUAGGUAAAUUGUACAAUUAGUUAUUUUUUUAUCUAUAUUUAAUGCUCCUUGUACGUACCGCAAGAUUCGAUGUGAUGGAAAAUUUUGUAAACUUUUAAAUUUUAACAUGCCCAAAGUUCUCCCAGCCUAUAAAGAUACACGCGCCUAUCGGACUUGGCAUCGGAGGUUGGACGCAACCGCCUCUUCCCACGCCCCGCGCGUCCUCUUCGCGCGCUCCUUUGGACAGCUGCUGCAUCUGCUCUAAUUGCACAGCUCGUCCUCCUGCUGCUGUGGCCUUGUUUAGUUCACACUAAAAACCAAAAACUUUUCAAAAUUUUCUGUUAUAUCGAAUUUUACGUCACAUACAUAGAAUAUUAAAUAUAGAUGAGAACUAAAACUAAUAGCACAAUUUGUCUGUAAAUUACGAGACGAAUCUUUUAAACCUAGUUACUUUAUGAUUAGAUAAUGUUUGUCAAGUAAAAACGAAAAUAUUAUAGUGUCAAAAUCCAAAAACUUUUUGAAUCUAAAUAAGGCCCGCGUUGAAAAUGACAUAGAAUUGAUUGUACUGUUGCUGGGCACUGCUGCUCACUGCACGACUCCUCGUUCUGUUAAUGAUUUUGUGAAAAUUGAUUACACCGCUAUUGAGCACUGCUGAUUGCUGAGCACUGCCGCUCUCAAAUGAUUUUGUGGAAACAGUACAUUUGAAAUAAAAUUAUUUUGUGGGUCUUUUUUUUUAAAUUUUGCCAAUUCAAAAUUGCCAAAUUCUUAGAAAUAAGAUGAUCUUUUACUUGGCAUAUAUUUUUAGGAGUUGGCAAAUCAUAUCACAGAGUUUCUUCGAUCUUGUGUCGAAGCCGGCUAUAAGCUUGCAGCCUUCUUCUUAUUUUUCUCUUUUUUUUUCUUUUUUGUUCUCUUUUUCCUCGUUUUUGUCCUCCAUUUCAGUAUUUAGCCAAUUUACAAACUGUUAUUAUACUUGCUCUUUUAUCUCCUACUCCCUCCGUCCCUGAAAGCUGCAAUUUCUAGAGUUUUUCUAAGUCAAUUUUUUACAACUUUGACCAAAUUUAUAGAAAAAAAUGCUAAGAUUUAUAGUACCAAAUUAAUACCAUUAAAUUUAUUAUAGAAUAUAUUUUUGAAAGAUACUUAUUUUAUGUUAUAGAUAUUGAUACUCUUUUCUAUAAAGUUGGUCAAAGUUAGAAAAGUUUGACUCACAUGGAUUCUAGGAGUUGAAGCUUUUGGGGACGGAC
This 2536-nucleotide long non-coding RNA is filed under the name Sorghum bicolor (sorghum). RNAcentral's name for it is "long non-coding RNA (SBIC_LNC007285)". The record is from RNAcentral. Lineage: Eukaryota; Viridiplantae; Streptophyta; Magnoliopsida; Poales; Poaceae.